RNAcentral lists this ribosomal RNA (253 nucleotides) under uncultured bacterium. Its description in RNAcentral is "partial 16S ribosomal RNA". It matches the Rfam family "Bacterial small subunit ribosomal RNA", at positions 524 to 776 of the family's 1533-position model. The record is from RNAcentral.
UACGUAGGGUGCAAGCGUUGUCCGGAAUUAUUGGGCGUAAAGAGCGUGUAGGCGGCCCGAUUAGUCCGCUGUGAAAGUCCAUGGCUCAACCCUGGAAUGCCGGUGGAUACUGUCGGGCUAGAGUCCGGAAGGGGCGAGUGGAAUUCCUGGUGUAGCGGUGAAAUGCGCAGAUAUCAGGAGGAACACCAAUGGCGAAGGCAGCUCGCUGGGACGUGACUGACGCUGAGACGCGAAAGCGUGGGGAGCAAACAGG